CACACACGGCCGCGGGGGAAGGCUGGCAGCAGAGAGGCCACACUGCACAGACCCUUCAGCUCUCCAGACAUUCCCUUCUCCUUCUCCAGGACCUCAGAGCUUCCACCUUUUCUUAGAAAACAACUGAAUCGGCUGAACAAGAUAUUCCUUCUUUACUUCUUCAUUCUGGAUGUACUCUUUCUGAAGCCAUCAAAGCACAACUGAAUAUUUACCCCUCAAGAUGGUGAAUAAAGUUGCUCAUCACUGCUACAGUAUCAGACACCUGCCUUAUACCCCGUGUCCCGUGGGAUGGGAAUAUAAGAAAGGAAGCAUCUAGGAGAGAAGAGCUGUUCUCCACAGUUUAGUCCUUCGGGUUCUCAGAUUUAAGCACAACACCAACUCUAAGUCUGCCCAAACAGCCAUUUCUGUGAGAACUCCUUCAGCCAGCACUCAGCAAUGCACCUGACAUUGGCUGGGACAUUCCACAACACAGCUCUUCUAUUCCCCUGUCACUGAGCAUCUCCAGACCAUCUCCCUCCACCUAAAGCAGAAGC
This is a long non-coding RNA of Parus major (Great Tit), 533 nucleotides long. RefSeq lists it as uncharacterized. The record is from RefSeq and is a predicted model, not a curated record. The transcript is spliced from 3 exons. NCBI's taxonomy places the organism in Eukaryota, Metazoa, Chordata, Aves, Passeriformes, Paridae.